Molecule: long non-coding RNA, 740 nt
Organism: Teleopsis dalmanni
Lineage: Eukaryota; Metazoa; Arthropoda; Insecta; Diptera; Diopsidae
Exons: 3
Source: RefSeq, a predicted model, not a curated record
GUCAACACGGCAGUCCAUGAUUCAAAAUUGAUAGGGUUCAAUUCUAGAUUUAACCAAAAGAUGUUUCCAAAGACCGCUGAUAACGGAUAAUGGCGAUAUCCAAAAUAAUUAAGGUCGCGUGCGAGUUCGAAUAAAUUGAUGCCAAAUUGAGGCCCCUUUCCAAGAGGUCGUUUCGACGAUUCAAAAUACAAUUCAAGUCCGAAAAUGCCGGCAAGCAGUCACACAUGCAACCAAAUGCACUGCAAAACACAAAAAGAAAACAUAAUAACAAAAUAAUUCACAGCUGGAACGACACCAAUGCCGGUCAUUAAACCAAAACUUCAACUUCAGUCUGUGCUGGAACACAGAAAUGUUUGCAGCGAAAAGGAGAAAACUUGUUGCAUGCACAUUUGGUAAAAGAAAGAGGAAACAACGAGAAAAACGAGAAAAACUAAUUGUGGAACGUAUCUUUCGCUAUUAACUUGGAAACUGGAACACAUCGUUCUAGCGUGAAAACUAUAUUCUCGACAAGAGCAAACCAAAGAAAAUUUAUUACAAAUAAUUGAAAACCAGUUUUGAAAGUUUGCGAUUUUCGCUAUUUUCUACAAACAUCCACCACCUUCGGGUUGAGGUAAAUAGAAACAGCAUACAAAAACAAAAUGCGAAAAAUUAGUAACCGGUAAACGUGAGCUUGUAAACGUUUCAUUAUGUUGAAUUCAUUUUGUAAACAAUUUCAACAUUAUCCCACAUUCAGAUAAAUA